RNAcentral lists this small RNA (246 nucleotides) under marine eukaryotic metagenome. RNAcentral's name for it is "5' ureB small RNA". It matches the Rfam family "5' ureB small RNA", at positions 9 to 255 of the family's 292-position model. The record is from RNAcentral.
AAUUUGUUGUGGACAUAUAAAAUGAAUAUGUGCGUCAACACCACCGGCUGUAACAAUUUGACCUUCUGCUGCAAUCACUUCUGUACAAGGACCAAUAACAAUAGUCACGUUAUCUUGAAUAUCAGGGUUGCCGGCCUUACCAAUACCCACGAUACGUCCAUGUUUGAUACCGAUAUCUGCUUUAACGAUACCCCAAUGAUCAACAAUAAGUGCAUUGGUGAUCACCGUAUCCACGGUAUCAAUGGU